GGUUUUCGGACCUAGAGACCGGCGCACGGGUGCGUAACGCGUAUGCAAUCUACCUUUUACAGAGGGAUAGCCCAGAGAAAUUUGGAUUAAUACCUCAUAGUAUAAUGACUCGGCAUCGAGAUAUUAUUAAAGUCACAACGGUAAAAGAUGAGCAUGCGUCCCAUUAGCUUGUUGGUAAGGUAACGGCUUACCAAGGCCACGAUGGGUAGGGGUCCUGAGAGGGAGAUCCCCCACACUGGUACUGAGACACGGACCAGACUCCUACGGGAGGCAGCAGUGAGGAAUAUUGGUCAAUGGGCGCAAGCCUGAACCAGCCAUGCCGCGUGCAGGAUGAAGCAUCUAUGGUGUGUAAACUGCUUUUGUACGAGAAGAAACACUCCUACGUGUAGGAGCUUGACGGUAUCGUAAGAAUAAGGACCGGCUAACUCCGUGCCAGCAGCCGCGGUAAUACGGAGGGUCCAAGCGUUAUCCGGAAUCAUUGGGUUUAAAGGGUCCGUAGGCGGUUUAGUAAGUCAGUGGUGAAAGCCCAUCGCUCAACGGUGGAACGGCCAUUGAUACUGCUAAACUUGAAUUAUUGUGAAGUAACUAGAAUAUGUAGUGUAGCGGUGAAAUGCUUAGAGAUUACAUGGAAUACCAAUUGCGAAGGCAGGUUACUAACAAUAUAUUGACGCUGAUGGACGAAAGCGUGGGUAGCGAACAGGAUUAGAUACCCUGGUAGUCCACGCCGUANACGAUGGAUACUAGCUGUUCGGAGCAAUCUGAGUGGCUAAGCGAAAGUGAUAAGUAUCCCACCUGGGGAGUACGUUCGCAAGAAUGAAACUCAAAGGAAUUGACGGGGGCCCGCACAAGCGGUGGAGCAUGUGGUUUAAUUCGAUG
Molecule: ribosomal RNA, 876 nt
Filed under: uncultured bacterium
Lineage: Bacteria
Description: bacterial SSU rRNA
Rfam family: Bacterial small subunit ribosomal RNA
Source: RNAcentral